UCUCCUAAGGCUAAAUACUCUCUAGUGACCGAUAGUGAACCAGUACCGUGAGGGAAAGGUGAAAAGCACCCCGGAAGGGGAGUGAAAUAGAACCUGAAACCGUGUGCUUACAAGUAGUCAGAGCCCGUUAAUGGGUGAUGGCGUGCCUUUUGUAGAAUGAACCGGCGAGUUACGAUUUGAUGCAAGGUUAAGCAGUAAAUGUGGAGCCGUAGCGAAAGCGAGUCUGAAUAGGGCGUUUAGUAUUUGGUCGUAGACCCGAAACCAGGUGAUCUACCCUUGGUCAGGUUGAAGUUCAGGUAACACUGAAUGGAGGACCGAACCGACUUACGUUGAAAAGUGAGCGGAUGAACUGAGGGUAGCGGAGAAAUUCCAAUCGAACCUGGAGAUAGCUGGUUCUCUCCGAAAUAGCUUUAGGGCUAGCCUCAAGUGAUGAUUAUUGGAGGUAGAGCACUGUUUGGACGAGGGGCCCCUCUCGGGUUACCGAAUUCAGACAAACUCCGAAUGCCAAUUAAUUUAACUUGGGAGUCAGAACAUGGGUGAUAAGGUCCGUGUUCGAAAGGGAAACAGCCCAGACCACCAGCUAAGGUCCCAAAAUAUAUGUUAAGUGGAAAAGGAUGUGGCGUUGCCCAGACAACUAGGAUGUUGGCUUAGAAGCAGCCAUCAUUUAAAGAGUGCGUAAUAGCUCACUAGUCGAGUGACACUGCGCCGAAAAUGUACCGGGGCUAAACAUAUUACCGAAGCUGUGGAUUGUCCUUUGGACAAUGGUAGGAGAGCGUUCU
RNAcentral lists this ribosomal RNA (779 nucleotides) under Staphylococcus aureus. RNAcentral describes it as "partial 23S ribosomal RNA". It matches the Rfam family "Bacterial large subunit ribosomal RNA", at positions 456 to 1242 of the family's 2925-position model. The record is from RNAcentral. Lineage: Bacteria; Bacillati; Bacillota; Bacilli; Caryophanales; Staphylococcaceae.